UACGUAGGGGGCAAGCGUUGUCCGGAAUCAUUGGGCGUAAAGAGCGUGUAGGCGGCCCGAUAAGUCCGCCGUGAAAGUCCAGGGCUCAACCCUGGAAUGCCGGUGGAAACUGUCGGGCUGGAGUCUGGAAGAGGCGAGUGGAAUUCCUGGUGUAGCGGUGAAAUGCGCAGAUAUCAGGAGGAACACCAAUGGCGAAGGCAGCUCGCUGGGACGGUACUGACGCUGAGACGCGAAAGCGUGGGGAGCAAACAGG
Molecule: ribosomal RNA, 253 nt
Filed under: uncultured bacterium
Lineage: Bacteria
Description: partial 16S ribosomal RNA
Rfam family: Bacterial small subunit ribosomal RNA
Source: RNAcentral